AUGAAAGAGCAACUGAAAGCAAGUAGGAUUAAGAUUUUGGCUGCCUUGCUGGUCUUCGCCAUGGUUACUCAAGGCUUGGCGAUUCGGGUCAAGGGGACGGUGAGGAAUGACAUCACCGAUGAGGCUGUCAGCGCAAAAACCACCCUCGGUGCAGGCAGCAGCACAACCGUUGACAACCACCAUGCAAUCCCACGGGACCAGUAUAGUAGCCAUGGAGGAGAGGACGGAUCAGGUGGCAGUGGUGGUGAUACUACAAAGAACUAG
Molecule: ribosomal RNA, 264 nt
Filed under: Triticum aestivum (bread wheat)
Lineage: Eukaryota; Viridiplantae; Streptophyta; Magnoliopsida; Poales; Poaceae
Description: partial small subunit ribosomal RNA
Source: RNAcentral